CCUGGAAACCCUGACUUUAACCUUAAAAUAUCUCCAUUUGACCUCCUGUCACAAACCAACCAAGGCUCUGAAAUGAUCAGCUCUAUCUCCUCACAGGCAAAACAGCUGUGCCCAAGAAAAUGAAGAUAGCUGAGGAGCUGGUAUGAGUGUUACAAGUAAAUGAAGAUAUGAAGAAAGAAGUGAUGUGUUCUCUCUGGGCUGAUCCAUGAUCCACGUUGGGUGCUGCAGUCCCCAAAGUGACGUGGUGGAUGGACUCCACCCUGCAGUGAGGGGCUGAUCCCCACAGGAGCUGCAGCCACAUCUCAGCUUCCCCAGUUCCUGCAAAACCAAAGGGGGCCCAAACCCACACUCUGCGUCAGAACAUUUGAUAAGGAAAAAACCUUUCCAGGUGCCCGAGCACAAAACAAAUCCAGCUCUGACAGCAGGCCUGAGGCCGGAGAAGGUAAAGCUGAAGGGCAUCUGCAAGCACUGGUGAUAGGUGAUUCACCUGGGUCUUCCCCAAAAAGUGAACAUAAAAACUGUAGUAGUAUGGAAAGUUACACUACUGCAACAAGGAUCCAUUGGUACCCUGGGCACCUGGCAGCAAAGGAGAGCUGUUUUCCACAGGAAGGAAAGCUGUCCACUACCCUUCCCAACUGACUUAAGUACGACCAUAAACAGGACCCUAAACACCACCCCUGGCACUACAGGUGCAGCUAUAACCCUAACCUGAACACCAUGGCUGCUCCAGACUCAGAAAGUUGUAGGAGCAGCAAUGUUGGAACCCGUCAUGGAUCACAUGGGCAUUGCUUUUACUGCCCCAGUGUCCCCAGACCUGUAAGUUCUUUAACCCUAACCCUAGGGUUCUCUCAACCCUAACUCUAACCUUAACCUGAAUCCUAACCCCAACCCUUACCCUAACCCCAACCCUAGCCCAUUUCCAGCCCAGCACCCGCCUGCCAACGAUGGCUCUUUUCACAGAAGAAAGCUGUCCAUCCCCGUGUCUAGGGAGCAGUGGACAGGUAGCAUCCAGCAGUCCAAGGCCAGCCACAGCCCUAGCUCCUGGCAGCUUUUGUCUGGGAUAAAUCCUCCAACAUUUGCAAUUUUAGGAGGCAGAACCUUUUGCAGCCACAGGGCUCAGCAAGUGCCAUUCCCUGUUCCAAUGGCAAGCACACUAUAAACCCCUUCCUAAAUGAAGCAGUCUUUAAUAUGAAGUGACUUCCUUGCGAAGCAGAAAGAAGUUCCCGCCCAGGAUGCUCAUAAAACUAUUUAUCAUUUCCAGAGUACAUCCACUCUGGUCAAUGAUAAUAAUUUUUGCCCUUUUUGCUGCCUUCUCAAUAUUUUCUCACAGUCCCCACUGUUGUGAGUGCAUUUGGGAAAAAUACAAGCACUUGGUAUAGGCACUGAAGCACACAUUAGUUUUGGGACAGAUUUUUUUUUUUUUUUUUAACUUCCUUGAGUAAAAAAAUCCUAUCAUACUUAAUAAGUAGGUGUCCUCACUCCUUACCAUUGCUAGAGUGCCUUAAGGUGUAGCCUUAGGAAAAAUGCAUUACAGACUCCAGUCCUGACCAGAUGAAUGCUGCUCUUGUGAACAAAUUCUUUACAGUUCUCACAAGAUGAAGUCAGCAGCAAGUAAUGGGAAGUAUUGCAGGGCAUUGCUGUUGAAAAACCCUUUCUAUCAGCUGUGGAUCCACAAACCCCCACUGUGCAGCUUGUGACAUCAAAUUAUCCUCCACUAGAAAAGAAAAUACAAUAUUAGUCAGGGCUUUAACAGCCCUUCAAUAUGUCAUCAGCUUUAUUGGGACUAAAUCUCAGGCAGGCAGGUCACUCAGCUCUGUUCUCAUCCAAUGCUGUGUUUUGGUUUAACUGGUUUAUCAGGAGAAUCAAUCUUGCUGGUGUAAUAGGGGUUCUGGUA
Hirundo rustica (Barn swallow) is the source of this 1894-nucleotide long non-coding RNA. RefSeq lists it as uncharacterized. The record is from RefSeq and is a predicted model, not a curated record. The transcript is spliced from 3 exons. NCBI's taxonomy places the organism in Eukaryota, Metazoa, Chordata, Aves, Passeriformes, Hirundinidae.